Long non-coding RNA from Melanotaenia boesemani (Boeseman's rainbowfish), 164 nucleotides. RefSeq lists it as uncharacterized. The record is from RefSeq and is a predicted model, not a curated record. NCBI's taxonomy places the organism in Eukaryota, Metazoa, Chordata, Actinopteri, Atheriniformes, Melanotaeniidae. The transcript has 3 exons.
UCUGAAAAGACCCAACCAACUACAAACAUGUUUCUUCUACAGUGUUUUUCCUGGAAAAAGAAGACAACAGACAAAACUGUUGUGGCAGAUGAGAAGAAGCUUAAAAACUCUCAGAAAUGCCAAACCAAGUCAGACACCCAACAUCCAAAGGCCAAGAAGAAGAC